ACAUGUGAGAUCCAACAAUGAUUCUUUUUACUUUCAAAUAUAUCCCUCUUCACCUUGAUGAAUGAAAGAAGUAAAAGAGAUGUUGGAAGCAUCAAAUGUACGAGGACCAGGUGCUCGUAUUCCCGCCCAUUUCUUUGAAUAAAAUUAUGUAUAUAAGAUUCUGCCCUUAGGCAAUUGGCGAGUUGCAAAACUUGGAAAGAUAUUGAGAUAAGCUUUUUGAGGGCGACGAGGAUGUCGAUAGGAGCUGCUGCUGCUGCUCACCUCAACCUCACUCCUCACUGUCUUCUCCGUCUCCGGCCAAAAACCAAAGUCCUUGCCGGUAAUCGGCCUGUUAAAUGUACUAUGGAACGCCAGGCGCUCUUUAACCGCAUCGCUCCUGUAUACGAUAAUUUGAACGAUUUGUUGAGCUUGGGGCAGCACCGUGUGUGGAAAAGAAUGGCCGUCUCUUGGAGCGGGGCGAAAGAGGGAGACUGUGUGAUGGAUUUGUGUUGUGGAAGUGGGGAUUUAGCUUUUCUUUUGUCUCAGAAGGUUGGUUCUCAAGGGAAGGUGGCUGGUCUCGACUUCUCGAAGGAACAAUUGUUCAUUGCAGCAUCUCGACAAGACUUGCUUUGGAAGGAUUCCUACAAGAACAUUGUGUGGAUUGAAGGUGAUGCACUUGAAUUACCAUUUCCAGAUAGUUACUUCGAUGCAAUAACUGUAGGCUAUGGGCUACGGAAUCUGGUAGAUAGAAAUAAAGCCAUGAAAGGGAUGUUUCGAGUCCUAAAACCAGGCGCCAGAGUUUCCAUUCUGGACUUCAACAAAAGCUCACAACAGUUUACCUCUACAGUUCAGGAAUGGAUGAUUGAUAACGUUGUUAUUCCAAUGGCAAGCCGUUAUGGCCUUGCUGAAGAGUACACAUACUUGAAAAGUUCAAUUAGGGAGUUCUUAACAGUGAAUAGAGAAGUGCAUGCAAGAACGAUGAGGGAAAACCAAAGCCUCAGAAAAAGGGAACUGGGGAGCAUAGUUGUCACGGCAUCAAAUCGAUCCAAGGCGGUGGAGGGUGGCUAAUCGAUUUGGCGAUGAAUCGCCAGUUAUGGCGUUGCCAUGGCGGUCAAAUUGCCCAUGUGGAAAGAGUUGGAAAAGCUUGCUUUGGAAGCAGGAUUUUCUGAUGCCAAGCAUUAUGAAAUUGGUGGAGGCCUCAUGGGGAACUUGGUAGCAACACGUUAGAUGGUAGUUUCAGUUGUUCUCUCUGUAACUUCACAGACUUAUUGGGUGAAAGAAUAUAAUUACUGCCAAUGUUGCUAUGUGAUAAGCAAGAAAAUGGGUGUGAAUUUAUCUUUGGGAGUUCUUGGUAUUUUCCCUAUUUUUAUUUUGGUGUACUAUUUUGUGGGAGCAUUAUUUAAAGUCUUAUUUAAAAUGGUUCCUUUGAAAUAAAAGCUUAAUUUGUUUUC
RNA transcript from Macadamia integrifolia, 1430 nucleotides. It is a transcript of the gene named 2-phytyl-1,4-beta-naphthoquinone methyltransferase, chloroplastic-like, with no coding region annotated. NCBI's taxonomy places the organism in Eukaryota, Viridiplantae, Streptophyta, Magnoliopsida, Proteales, Proteaceae. The record is from RefSeq and is a predicted model, not a curated record. The transcript has 9 exons.